Long non-coding RNA from Symphalangus syndactylus (siamang), 536 nucleotides. RefSeq lists it as uncharacterized. NCBI's taxonomy places the organism in Eukaryota, Metazoa, Chordata, Mammalia, Primates, Hylobatidae. The record is from RefSeq and is a predicted model, not a curated record.
ACAAAAAAGUAAAAUGGAUUUUAUCAUACUUGGAAAAUCAACAAUUGCAGUCUGGAUUCAUACAUCACUGUUUGAUGCACCCAACUUGAGUCAGAAAGAUGCUUCAAAUCCCACUAGGUUGGAGGCAAAAAUACUCAAGAUUUUAAGAGCAUCUCUUGACAGUGUACAGAAUAAGACAGCUUCUCAGCUUUCAGCUUUACUUCACAGUUUUAACUAUCAAAAGAAGCAAGCCAUCUGAAGAUUUGCCUGAGACUGAAGGAUCCACUUCUGCAAUGACUCCCUCAGGUUCUCUCAUCAGAACUGACUAGGCGGGUGACGUGAUCCAUGGAGAGAAAGGAAGAGCAAUGUGGUGUGGCAGCCCUCCUGAGAGCCACAUGGGGCAGAGGAGUCCCCACCUCCCAGCCAAGAUGGAACCAGAUUGAGAAAAACCAACCAACCAACCAACCAACCAACCGACCAACAUGAUGGCUGAACCAGACAAGAGAAGUCCUGAAGUAAAAUACCCAUCAAUUACCAGAACCUGUGACUGCCAUACG